RNAcentral lists this transfer RNA (75 nucleotides) under Sphingomonadaceae bacterium. RNAcentral's name for it is "tRNA-Val". It matches the Rfam family "tRNA". From Rfam's summary of the family: Transfer RNA (tRNA) molecules are approximately 80 nucleotides in length. The record is from RNAcentral. Lineage: Bacteria; Pseudomonadati; Pseudomonadota; Alphaproteobacteria; Sphingomonadales; Sphingomonadaceae.
GGGCGGUUAGCUCAGCGGUAGAGCGGCUCGUUUACACCGAGCGGGUCGGAGGUUCGAUCCCUUCACCGCCCACCA